RNAcentral lists this ribosomal RNA (569 nucleotides) under Xylaria polymorpha. Its description in RNAcentral is "eukaryotic LSU rRNA". The stretch from base 212 to 365 matches the Rfam family "5.8S ribosomal RNA". Lineage: Eukaryota; Fungi; Ascomycota; Sordariomycetes; Xylariales; Xylariaceae. The record is from RNAcentral.
CAAGGUCUCCGUUGGUGAACCAGCGGAGGGAUCAUUAAAGAGUUCUAUAACUCCCAACCCAUGUGAACAUACCGUACGUUGCCUCGGCAUGCUGCAUCUACCCUGUGAGAUCCUACCCUGUAGGACUUACCUGGGAGGUGCGCUAAAGUCUGCCGGCGGCCCAACUAACUCUGUCUAUUUUUGAAUUCUGAGGUUAUAAUAAAUAUGUUAAAACUUUCAACAACGGAUCUCUUGGUUCUGGCAUCGAUGAAGAACGCAGCGAAAUGCGAUAAGUAAUGUGAAUUGCAGAAUUUAGUGAAUCAUCGAAUCUUUGAACGCACAUUGCGCCCAUUAGUAUUCUAGUGGGCAUGCCUGUUCGAGCGUCAUUUCAACCCUUAAGCCUCUGUUGCUUAGUGUUGGGAGCCUACGGUAUCGUAGCUCCUCAAAUAUAGUGGCAGAGUCGGUUCACACUCUAGACGUAGUAGAUUCUAUCUCGCCUUUGAGUUGGACCGGUCCCCCGCCGUAAAACCCCCCUAUUUUAUAAAGGUUGACCUCGGAUCAGGUAGGAAUACCCGCUGAACUUAAGCAUA